RNAcentral lists this ribosomal RNA (253 nucleotides) under uncultured bacterium. RNAcentral's name for it is "partial 16S ribosomal RNA". It matches the Rfam family "Bacterial small subunit ribosomal RNA", at positions 524 to 776 of the family's 1533-position model. The record is from RNAcentral.
UACGAAGGGUGCAAGCGUUGCUCGGAAUUAUUGGGCGUAAAGGGUAGGUAGGUGGUUGCAUAUGUCUGGGGUGAAAUCCCUGAGCUUAACUCAGGACGUGCCUUGGAAACGGUGUAACUAGAGUACUAGAGAGGUUCGUGGAAUUCCUGGUGUAGCGGUGAAAUGCGUAGAGAUCAGGAGGAACAUCAGCGGCGAAGGCGGCGAACUGGAUAGUAACUGACACUCAACUACGAAAGCGUGGGGAGCAAACAGG